UAAACUAGGAUUAGAUACCCUAUUAUAUUUAAAUAAAUAAAGUAGUAAAAUAAUUAAACUAAUUUAAUCUGGCGGCAUUUCAUCUAAUUAGAGGAAUUUGUCUACUAAUCGAUACUCCACGUUAAAUUUUACUUUACUUUAAAAUCUAUAUACCGCCAUCUCAAGAAUUAAUUUAAAAAUUUUCUUCCCAAUAAUUAAUAAAAAGUUAGGUCAAGGUGUAAUCUAUAUUAAAGAAUAAGAUGAAUUACAUUAAACAAUAUUUAAAGACUAUAUAUAUAAAUAUAAAUACAAAUAAGAAUUUAAAAGUAAUAUAAUAACAAUAA
This 323-nucleotide ribosomal RNA is filed under the name Pireneitega burqinensis. RNAcentral's name for it is "partial small subunit ribosomal RNA". Lineage: Eukaryota; Metazoa; Arthropoda; Arachnida; Araneae; Agelenidae. The record is from RNAcentral.